RNAcentral lists this small RNA (211 nucleotides) under Arabidopsis thaliana (thale cress). RNAcentral's name for it is "ATSL083800". Lineage: Eukaryota; Viridiplantae; Streptophyta; Magnoliopsida; Brassicales; Brassicaceae. The record is from RNAcentral.
UGGUGAAGCCAGAGAGUGAGGCAACUGUGCAACCUGAAGGUUAUCACGGAGGACAUGGUGGUCACGGAGGGGGAGGCCACUACGGAGGAGGAGGCCACGGGCAUGGAGGACACAACGGAGGAGGGGGCCACGGACUUGACGGAUACGGAGGAGGACAUGGAGGACACUACGGAGGAGGAGGAGGACACUACGGAGGAGGAGGAGGCCACGG